Long non-coding RNA from Trachemys scripta elegans, 1236 nucleotides. RefSeq lists it as uncharacterized. NCBI's taxonomy places the organism in Eukaryota, Metazoa, Chordata, Testudines, Emydidae. The record is from RefSeq and is a predicted model, not a curated record. The transcript is spliced from 3 exons.
UCCCCCCUACACAUGGCCUCCAUGCAGGCUCAGUCAGACAGGGCAAAUGGACAAAGCUGUGUGCCCUUGAGCUAUGCUGAAGAUUCAGUUUAUGGGGGAACACCUCUACAUGGCCCACCAAGCUCCGCCCCAGAUGUGACAUCACAAAUGGUGCUCUUAUGCGGUGGAUAUGUUGCUGUUAUGACUGGACAAUUCACGGUAGGGAAAGUGUUCCGAGGGUAAAUGUUUCUCGUAAGUGGUGAUUGCUCUUAUAAGGUGUUGCUGCAAACAAGCAUCUAAUGUAACAUGAAAUCAGAGGAGGCACUCUGACUUCCAGCAAUCGAUGCACAGCUUGACAACUGUUGCACCCAAAGCUGUUACUUACAUUAGCAUGUGCUAUAGUUUGUGUUUGCCCGAGUUGUGCACAAACUUUCAAAACAAUGGUGAGAAAUGGGGCUGGAGCAGUGAAGUAAAUGUUUCUUGGUUUUAUUUAAUCGUUUCUAGUGAUGCUGGAUUUCCUCUUUGUGUAUUCUGUAUAAACUUUUGUUAAUUGUCUAUUUCUCUUGCUUUGCAUAGUGAAGGAGUUUAUGGAGGAGCAAAUUUUUAUUUUAUUGAUAGCAUAACAACUGGGAGUUGCUGCUAUGAAGAGCCUUUAUGUGCUUUGACUUUUACCUGGGCUCCAAGUCUCUAUGCAUGACCAGAAAUAAAUUUUCCUUGCUCUGCUGUUUUCCUGAACCUCAGUUGUUGGACAUCUACUGCUGUGGAUCCAAUUUGUUAUCACACCUACUUAGAGGCAGCCAUAUUGUUUGUAAUUUCCCCCCACUGCUAUUUUGAGUUCACCCAUCUGAUAGAGCUGAAGCUGAUGCUGCACAUGCCAAGCUGAACAUUUUUAUCUUAACCAGGAGCAGUGGUUCAUGUACCUGCCAGCACAGGAUGCUUCAAGGGGAAUGUCAACUCAGGGGAUGUAUUAGGGAACUGAACUGGGUUGACCUAUGGAGGAACUUGGUAGCUGCACUUGUGCAGCAAAGAGAUGGAGACAGAAAGACUGAGAAAGAGAAGGUUGCUGGUGGAACUGAAGUGGUAGCAUUACACAACAGUGAAAGUGUCUAUCUCUUUCCUUUUAUUAAUCCUACUGGUGGCUUUUCUAAGAACCCGGGAAACUCUUUUUCCAACAAUCAAGACUGCAAAAUCAGCCAAUUUCUUUAGAUGACCCCUCACCUUCCAAUUCCUCCUUCUGUAUUGGCUCAACUGCUGUCU